CGGACGGGUGAGUAACGCGUGGGGAACCUGCCCUGUACAGGGGAUAACACUUAGAAAUAGGUGCUAAUACCGCAUAAGCGCACAGCUUCGCAUGAAGUGGUGUGAAAAACUCUGGUGGUAUACGAUGGUUCCGCGUCUGAUUAGCUUGUUGGUGGGGUAAUGGCUCACCAAGGCGACGAUCAGUAGCCGGCCUGAGAGGGUGAACGGCCACAUUGGGACUGAGACACGGCCCAAACUCCUACGGGAGGCAGCAG
This 254-nucleotide ribosomal RNA is filed under the name uncultured bacterium. RNAcentral describes it as "partial 16S ribosomal RNA". It matches the Rfam family "Bacterial small subunit ribosomal RNA", at positions 99 to 354 of the family's 1533-position model. The record is from RNAcentral.